Molecule: non-coding RNA, 701 nt
Organism: Mus caroli (Ryukyu mouse)
Lineage: Eukaryota; Metazoa; Chordata; Mammalia; Rodentia; Muridae
Source: RefSeq, a predicted model, not a curated record
GAGCUACAGGAGCAGUGGAAGCUGACAGUGCCCUGGCCAGUGAGAUCCUUUAACAGGCUGAAGUAGCUUCUGUGUUGGACAAGGAGGUUGAUUUGACUGCUAAGGGAGGUAACAGUCAGUGGGGGCAAAAAAGAACUCAUUGGAGUCUCAAGGUUGCCUAGGUAUCUUCUGCCAGGCUUCUAACCAUCUGAGUCUGCCAGUGGAAAAUCAAGCAGACCCGUAAAGCAAGACCUCACAUCCCACAGGCGUGGAGAAUUGGGUUAUGACACUAAGCAAUGGAUUUCCAUCAGCCAAGGAAAAAAAAUGAUGCUGAUGAAUUUUAAAGUUCAUGUAGUCGGAGAUGUCCUGAUGCCUGGCACAAUGAACUUGACUGAUACAACCCAUUGAGCAGAUGCUUGGUGUCUGGCCCGAAGCAUUGUUUAGCAGGAUGAGAGAUUAUAGGGCUCUUUACAAGUGAUCACCUACCAUGCAUGUGGGUAAAGGUUGACUACACAACCACCGUUCUGUAAAAAUGUGUUAAUCACAAGAAAAAUACCACAAACCAUCAGAAAGAUUUGGCCUAGAUGUUCUAGAGAUAUUGGCACAACAAACAAACAAACAAAACUCCAAAACAAAAGAAAAUCACAAACAAACAACAAGACCAAUAGCAUGUUUCAGUCCGUUGACUUUUUAUCAGACAAGAAAUAAAAACUCUUCCUGGC